CAGUAGCCGCGGUAAUACGGAGGGUGCAAGCGUUAAUCGGAAUUAAUGGGCGUAAAGCGCACGCAGGCGGUUUGUUAAGUCAGAUGUGAAAUCCCCGAGCUUAACUUGGGAUCUGCAUUUGAAACUGGCAAGCUAGAGUCUUGUAGAGGGGGGUAGAAUUCCAGGUGUAGCGGUGAAAUGCGUAGAGAUCUGGAGGAAUACCGGUGGCGAAGGCGGCCCCCUGGACAAAGACUGACGCUCAGGUGCGAAAGCGUGGGGAGCAAACAGGAUUAGAUACCCCGGUAGUCCCUGUCUCUUAUAC
This 301-nucleotide ribosomal RNA is filed under the name uncultured bacterium. Its description in RNAcentral is "partial 16S ribosomal RNA". It matches the Rfam family "Bacterial small subunit ribosomal RNA", at positions 509 to 807 of the family's 1533-position model. The record is from RNAcentral.